GGAGGAGCCUCCAGUCGGUCCGGUGUUGCUGUGCUGUUCUAACGAGGGAGAGAGAAAAAGCCAGCGAUGAAAGGAACUGGGUGGCUGCGUUAGGAAAAGUACCCCUCACAGACUCACUCCGCAGACAAGACGGGAACCCUGCAGCAGCAGCCAUGUUGGACCUUCUGAUACUUCGGGGAGAGAGAGGGGGAGACGCGUGAGCCCAGCCUUUGCCGUUUUUUGUAACCAGAGCCAAAAGAGGAGGGUUUAGGGAGGGUGGAGCGCGUCACGAUGCAGGACUCUAGACGAUUCUAGGGUAAGGGAUACAUUAGACCCAAAUACACUCAACAAUCCUUUCCUUUUGGUUUUAAAUAUGAUAUGUUUUUAGUCAGUACAGCUGUAGUUCCUGGGUUAUUUGGAUAAGCUAUCCUCUGCCUUUAUAUCCAGGACAAAUCAGAACCACUCGUGUUUUCUGUGAAUUCCCAAUCACAUUGUAAUCACGGCAGCUGUUUUUCUUCCAGAAC
Molecule: long non-coding RNA, 503 nt
Organism: Oncorhynchus tshawytscha (Chinook salmon)
Lineage: Eukaryota; Metazoa; Chordata; Actinopteri; Salmoniformes; Salmonidae
Source: Ensembl